GAUGAACGCUAGCGGCAGGCCUAACACAUGCAAGUCGAGGGAGAAGCCCUUCGGGGCAGAAACCGGCGCACGGGUGCGUAACGCGUAUGCAACCUACCUUUCACAGGGGGAUAGCCCGAAGAAAUUUGGAUUAAUACCCCAUAAUAUUAUUGGAUGGCAUCAUUUGAUAAUUAAAAUUACGAUGGUGAAAGAUGGGCAUGCGUCCUAUUAGCUAGUUGGAGUGGUAACGGCACCCCAAGGCUACGAUAGGUAGGGGUCCUGAGAGGGAGAUCCCCCACACUGGUACUGAGACAGGGACCAGACUCCUACGGGAGGCAGCAGUGAGGAAUAUUGGUCAAUGGUCGGAAGACUGAACCAGCCAUGCCGCGUGCAGGAAGAAUGCCUUAUGGGUUGUAAACUGCUUUUAUAUGGGAAGAAUAAGGAGUACGUGUACUUGAUGACGGUACCAUAUGAUAAGCU
This 459-nucleotide ribosomal RNA is filed under the name Capnocytophaga granulosa. RNAcentral describes it as "bacterial SSU rRNA". It matches the Rfam family "Bacterial small subunit ribosomal RNA", at positions 28 to 492 of the family's 1533-position model. Lineage: Bacteria; Pseudomonadati; Bacteroidota; Flavobacteriia; Flavobacteriales; Flavobacteriaceae. The record is from RNAcentral.